This 86-nucleotide microRNA precursor is filed under the name Ovis aries (sheep). RNAcentral's name for it is "miRNA (ENSOARG00000021614.1)". The record is from RNAcentral. Lineage: Eukaryota; Metazoa; Chordata; Mammalia; Artiodactyla; Bovidae.
GGAUUGACCAGAAAUUUUGUUCAGAUUUUUCGGUAAGAUGCUGCAGAAAAACCUGAACAAACUUUUUGGCCAACCCAGUAUCUUGA